Hordeum vulgare subsp. vulgare (domesticated barley) is the source of this 882-nucleotide long non-coding RNA. RefSeq lists it as uncharacterized. The record is from RefSeq and is a predicted model, not a curated record. The transcript is spliced from 2 exons. Lineage: Eukaryota; Viridiplantae; Streptophyta; Magnoliopsida; Poales; Poaceae.
UGUGCCCUUGAAUCAGAUGAACGCAUCACCCCCUUUUCCUAUGGAUCACGUUCGGGCUCAUGGGUUCAACCCGUGUGUUGACUCCAUCUUCCUCGCCUCCUCGCCUCCCAAAAGCAUCAAGCCUCCAGACUAUCGGUGCCUUUCUGACCCCAUUUCCAUUCCACACUUUCCUCCUUUAAUUCCCAACCAGUCCGGCAUCCCCUCUCCAUCUUCUUUGUUUGUGUGCCACUAGUGCGAGAUGCCUCCUUUGCUCACGAGUCGAGGCCAAAUCAGCCUCCGCUUCUUAUCCCUUCAACCGUUCAACGCUCAGAUCCUUGCACUUUCUACCGCUCGGGCGAUUCCAGAGGGACACGCGCGAAGAAUUGGGCAUGUGAAGGUUGUGAGGAAGAGAGGAGGCAAGGGAGAAUGACGGUGAUUGUGUCGAUAGGGGAGUGUGAUGCGUACAUCUCCAAUUCAAAAGGCGGCUUCUCCAGGGUGUGGCGACGGCUGUGGCGGUGCGUGAGAAAGAGAACCAUGUUGCGGCCAUCUUCGUUCAUGCUAUUGGUUUUAGUUUGCAUCCAUGAGGAGCGAUUGAAGCCACAUUGGAUGUGCCUAAUGUUCCCGAAAGACCAAACAUGUACCAAUCGUCAUCAUGCUACAAGUACGAGGGCAGUAAGUGUUUCAUUACUAUGCCACUGUCUUGGUUCCACACCCCUCCUUCUGCUUUUGUAGUAAUUUUUAUGGUGUAGUCUAGCACCGAAGUUGUUUUUCCUCUGAUUUAUUUUUCUUAUUGAAAAUUACUUCCCUCACACUCAACAAUGUGAAUGUAUAUGAAUUUUUUUGGGUAGUUUGUCACAUGUCUUACUACUAAUAACGAUGGAGUGCAUCCUUUCUUUGCUUAAA